CGGGAAGAGCUCAAGCUGAAAAUCCGGAUGCCUUGCGGUAUCCCGAAUUGUAGUCUAGAGACGUGCUGUCAGUGUGUGACCUGGGUAUAAGUCUUUUGGAACAAGGCAUCAUAGAGGGUGAGAAUCCCGUCUUUGACCCAGAGUACGCCACGUACGACACGCGUUCGAAGAGUCGAGUUGGUCGGGACUCCAGCUCUAAAUGGGUGGUAAGAUUCAUCUAAAGCUAAAUAUAGGCGGGAGACCGAUAGCGAACAAGUACCGUGAGGGAAAGAUGAAAAGAACUUUGAAAAGAGAGUUAAAAAGUACUUGAAAUUGUUAAGAGGAAAGCGAUGGAAACCAGUCGUGCCUGGUGCAACUAAAGUCUUCGCCUGCGAAGAAGGUGCGGUUUGAGUGGUUAAACCUCUGCCGUGCCUUGGACGUUGUGUGGGGGUGGACGUUGUGUUGGGUGGGUCAGCAUCGAUUUGGCUUGCUUGGGAGAAAGCCAGGGGGGAGCUAGCUUUGCCUUCGGGUGUCGCCGUAUAUCCCUCGGGCUCUACCGGGUGCUGGAUCGAGGACUUGACAACGUGCGCCUUACGGCUUGGAUCCCUAUCUCUGCGGUGUCAACGGCUCUGGACAGAAAAUCUGUGCUGGUCGUGAAGCGCUGUACUGGGUGGGUGCAUUCAUAUGUACGUUCGCGAUGCUGACGAAAUGGUUCUCAUCGACCCGUCUUGAAACACGGACCAAGGAGUCUAACAUAUGUGCGAGUAUUUGGGUGGAAAACCCUGAUGCGUAAUGAAAGUAAAGGCGGACUCGUGCCGCUGAGGUAGGAACCCUGGCUUCGGUUUGGGGGGCACUAUCGACCGAACGUUCGCUUGCGAAAGUUUUGAGUAAGAGCACAUCUGUUGGGACCCGAAAGAUGGUGAUCUAUGCCAGAACAGGGUGAAGGCAGGGGAAACUCUGCUGGAAGCUCGUAGCGAUACUGACGUGCAAAUCGUUCGUCUGAUUUUGGUAUAGGGGCGAAAGACUAAUCGAACCAUCUAGUAGCUGGUUCCCACCGAAGUUUCCCCCAGGAUAGCUGGAACUAUAUCGGUCUUAUCAGGUAAAGCUAAUGAUUAGAGGUCUUCGGAAUGAAACAUUCUGACCCUAUUCUCAAACUUUAAAUAGGUAAGAAACCCUAAGUCACUUAAUUGGACUUGGGUCUCGGACGAGAGUUCUUAGUGGGCCAUUUUUGGUAAGCAGAACUGGCGAUGCGGGAUGAACCGGACGUUGACUUAAGGUGCCAA
This 1262-nucleotide ribosomal RNA is filed under the name Thaumatomonas coloniensis. RNAcentral describes it as "eukaryotic LSU rRNA". It matches the Rfam family "Eukaryotic large subunit ribosomal RNA", at positions 99 to 1191 of the family's 3401-position model. Lineage: Eukaryota; Cercozoa; Imbricatea; Thaumatomonadida; Thaumatomastigidae. The record is from RNAcentral.